CUUAGCAUAUCAAUAAGCGGAGGAAAGAAACCAACAGGGGAUACUCAGAACGGCGAGUGAAGCGGUAACAGCUCAAAUUUGAAAGCUGCCAACAGGCCGCGUUGUAAUUUGUAGAAGCUGCUUUGGGUGUCGGCCCGGUCUAAGUUCCUUGGAACAGGACGUCAUAGAGGGUGAGAAUCCCGUAUGUGAUCGGUGCCGUUGCCCGUGUAAAGCGCUUUCGACGAGUCGAGUUGUUUGGGAAUGCAGCUCAAAAUGGGUGGUAAAUUUCAUCUAAAGCUAAAUAUUGGCCAGAGACCGAUAGCGCACAAGUAGAGUGAUCGAAAGAUGAAAAGCACUUUGGAAAGAGAGUUAAACAGUACGUGAAAUUGUUGAAAGGGAAGCGCUUGCAACCAGACUUGCGGGCGGUCGAUCAUCCGAGGUUCUCCCCGGUGCACUCGAUCGUUCUCAGGCCAGCAUCGGUUUCCGGGGUGGGAUAAAGGCGGUGGGAAUGUGGCUCUUCGGAGUGUUAUAGCCCACCGUGCAAUGCCGCCACUGGGGACCGAGGACCGCGCUUCGGCUAGGAUGCUGCGUAAUGCUUGCUAGCGACGUCUGAACCCGG
Molecule: ribosomal RNA, 598 nt
Filed under: Phialophora sp. RPC-5
Lineage: Eukaryota; Fungi; Ascomycota; Eurotiomycetes; Chaetothyriales; Herpotrichiellaceae
Description: LSU rRNA
Rfam family: Eukaryotic large subunit ribosomal RNA
Source: RNAcentral